Non-coding RNA from Paramuricea clavata, 268 nucleotides. Lineage: Eukaryota; Metazoa; Cnidaria; Anthozoa; Malacalcyonacea; Plexauridae. The record is from the annotation of a GenBank genome assembly.
UGGAAAACCAGCAUAAAAGCCGGUUUUCCACUUCAAGCGUACCGUACCGAAACGUAUCAAAAACGUUUUUAAAUUUCAAAAUUUCGUGAACGUUGAUUGGUUAGUACUUCCGUAGUACGCCAAAAAGUUGACUUGCGACGAACUUUUUAUUUUGAUACGCGAAUACACCCGGAAGUUCCCGGAAGUACGUGUAUUUAUAAACCUCUUUUCAAUCUGCGCAUGCUCACCAGUACGUUUCGCUACGAUACGGGCGAAGUGGAAAACCGGC